RNAcentral lists this ribosomal RNA (2891 nucleotides) under Escherichia coli. Its description in RNAcentral is "bacterial LSU rRNA". The record is from RNAcentral. Lineage: Bacteria; Pseudomonadati; Pseudomonadota; Gammaproteobacteria; Enterobacterales; Enterobacteriaceae.
AGCGUACACGGUGGAUGCCCUGGCAGUCAGAGGCGAUGAAGGACGUGCUAAUCUGCGAUAAGCGUCGGUAAGGUGAUAUGAACCGUUAUAACCGGCGAUUUCCGAAUGGGGAAACCCAGUGUGAUUCGUCACACUAUCAUUAACUGAAUCCAUAGGUUAAUGAGGCGAACCGGGGGAACUGAAACAUCUAAGUACCCCGAGGAAAAGAAAUCAACCGAGAUUCCCCCAGUAGCGGCGAGCGAACGGGGAGSAGCCCAGAGCCUGAAUCAGUGUGUGUGUUAGUGGAAGCGUCUGGAAAGGCGCGCGAUACAGGGUGACAGCCCCGUACACAAAAAUACACAUAUUGUGAGCUCGAUGAGUAGGGCGGGACACGUGGUAUCCUGUCUGAAUAUGGGGGGACCAUCCUCCAAGGCUAAAUACUCCUGACUGACCGAUAGUGAACCAGUACCGUGAGGGAAAGGCGAAAAGAACCCCGGCGAGGGGAGUGAAAAAGAACCUGAAACCGUGUACGUACAAGCAGUGGGAGCACGCUUAGGCGUGUGACUGCGUACCUUUUGUAUAAUGGGUCAGCGACUUAUAUUCUGUAGCAAGGUUAACCGAAUAGGGGAGCCGAAGGGAAACCGAGUCUUAACUGGGCGUUAAGUUGCAGGGUAUAGACCCGAAACCCGGUGAUCUAGCCAUGGGCAGGUUGAAGGUUGGGUAACACUAACUGGAGGACCGAACCGACUAAUGUUGAAAAAUUAGCGGAUGACUUGUGGCUGGGGGUGAAAGGCCAAUCAAACCGGGAGAUAGCUGGUUCUCCCCGAAAGCUAUUUAGGUAGCGCCUCGUGAAUUCAUCUCCGGGGGUAGAGCACUGUUUCGGCAAGGGGGUCAUCCCGACUUACCAACCCGAUGCAAACUGCGAAUACCGGAGAAUGUUAUCACGGGAGACACACGGCGGGUGCUAACGUCCGUCGUGAAGAGGGAAACAACCCAGACCGCCAGCUAAGGUCCCAAAGUCAUGGUUAAGUGGGAAACGAUGUGGGAAGGCCCAGACAGCCAGGAUGUUGGCUUAGAAGCAGCCAUCAUUUAAAGAAAGCGUAAUAGCUCACUGGUCGAGUCGGCCUGCGCGGAAGAUGUAACGGGGCUAAACCAUGCACCGAAGCUGCGGCAGCGACRCUUAUGCGUUGUUGGGUAGGGGAGCGUUCUGUAAGCCUGUGAAGGUGURCUGUGAGGYAUGCUGGAGGUAUCAGAAGUGCGAAUGCUGACAUAAGUAACGAUAAAGCGGGUGAAAAGCCCGCUCGCCGGAAGACCAAGGGUUCCUGUCCAACGUUAAUCGGGGCAGGGUGAGUCGACCCCUAAGGCGAGGCCGAAAGGCGUAGUCGAUGGGAAACAGGUUAAUAUUCCUGUACUUGGUGUUACUGCGAAGGGGGGACGGAGAAGGCUAUGUUGGCCGGGCGACGGUUGUCCCGGUUUAAGCGUGUAGGCUGGUUUUCCAGGCAAAUCCGGAAAAUCAAGGCUGAGGCGUGAUGACGAGGCACUACGGUGCUGAAGCAACAAAUGCCCUGCUUCCAGGAAAAGCCUCUAAGCAUCAGGUAACAUCAAAUCGUACCCCAAACCGACACAGGUGGUCAGGUAGAGAAUACCAAGGCGCUUGAGAGAACUCGGGUGAAGGAACUAGGCAAAAUGGUGCCGUAACUUCGGGAGAAGGCACGCUGAUAYGUAGGUGAAGUCCCUCGCGGAUGGAGCUGAAAUCAGUCGAAGAUACCAGCUGGCUGCAACUGUUUAUUAAAAACACAGCACUGUGCAAACACGAAAGUGGACGUAUACGGUGUGACGCCUGCCCGGUGCCGGAAGGUUAAUUGAUGGGGUCAGCGCAAGCGAAGCUCUUGAUCGAAGCCCCGGUAAACGGCGGCCGUAACUAUAACGGUCCUAAGGUAGCGAAAUUCCUUGUCGGGUAAGUUCCGACCUGCACGAAUGGCGUAAUGAUGGCCAGGCUGUCUCCACCCGAGACUCAGUGAAAUUGAACUCGCUGUGAAGAUGCAGUGUACCCGCGGCAAGACGGAAAGACCCCGUGAACCUUUACUAUAGCUUGACACUGAACAUUGAGCCUUGAUGUGUAGGAUAGGUGGGAGGCUUUGAAGUGUGGACGCCAGUCUGCAUGGAGCCGACCUUGAAAUACCACCCUUUAAUGUUUGAUGUUCUAACGUUGACCCGUGAUCCGGGUUGCGGACAGUGUCUGGUGGGUAGUUUGACUGGGGCGGUCUCCUCCUAAAGAGUAACGGAGGAGCACGAAGGUUGGCUAAUCCUGGUCGGACAUCAGGAGGUUAGUGCAAUGGCAUAAGCCAGCUUGACUGCGAGCGUGACGGCGCGAGCAGGUGCGAAAGCAGGUCAUAGUGAUCCGGUGGUUCUGAAUGGAAGGGCCAUCGCUCAACGGAUAAAAGGUACUCCGGGGAUAACAGGCUGAUACCGCCCAAGAGUUCAUAUCGACGGCGGUGUUUGGCACCUCGAUGUCGGCUCAUCACAUCCUGGGGCUGAAGUAGGUCCCAAGGGUAUGGCUGUUCGCCAUUUAAAGUGGUACGCGAGCUGGGUUUAGAACGUCGUGAGACAGUUCGGUCCCUAUCUGCCGUGGGCGCUGGAGAACUGAGGGGGGCUGCUCCUAGUACGAGAGGACCGGAGUGGACGCAUCACUGGUGUUCGGGUUGUCAUGCCAAUGGCACUGCCCGGUAGCUAAAUGCGGAAGAGAUAAGUGCUGAAAGCAUCUAAGCACGAAACUUGCCCCGAGAUGAGUUCUCCCUGACUCCUUGAGAGUCCUGAAGGAACGUUGAAGACGACGACGUUGAUAGGCCGGGUGUGUAAGCGCAGCGAUGCGUUGAGCUAACCGGUACUAAUGAACCGUGAGGCUUAACCUU